AGGACGAACGCUGGCGGCGUGGAUUAGGCAUGCAAGUCGGACGGUAGGGCUUUAUCGUAAGAUAGAGUUUGAGAGUGGCGAAUGGGUGAGUAACACGUAGGAAUCUACCCUUAAGACGGGACAACCCAGGGAAACUUGGGCUAAUACCGGAUGAGAGUGCGAGAGAUUGCAUUUAAAGGAUGGCGAAAGUUAUCGCUUAGGGAUGAGCCUGCGGUCUAUUAGUUAGUUGGUGGGGUAAGAGCUCACCAAGGCGAUGAUAGAUAGGCGGCCUUAACGGGUGGUCGCCCACACUGGGAUUGAGAUACGGCCCAGACUCCUACGGGAGGCAGCAGUCGAGAAUAGUCUACAAUGGCCGGAAGGCUGAUAGUGCGACGCCGCGUGAACGAGGGAGCCCUUCGGGGUGUAAAGUUCUUUUCUAUACGAGCAGUGCUAUAUAUAUGGAUAGUAUAUAUAGAGGGAUAGUAGUAUAGGAAUAAGCAACGGCUAACUCCGUG
This 494-nucleotide ribosomal RNA is filed under the name uncultured bacterium. Its description in RNAcentral is "bacterial SSU rRNA". It matches the Rfam family "Bacterial small subunit ribosomal RNA", at positions 26 to 507 of the family's 1533-position model. The record is from RNAcentral.